RNAcentral lists this long non-coding RNA (705 nucleotides) under Oryctolagus cuniculus (rabbit). RNAcentral describes it as "lncRNA (ENSOCUG00000033436.1)". Lineage: Eukaryota; Metazoa; Chordata; Mammalia; Lagomorpha; Leporidae. The record is from RNAcentral.
AUGUGCCCUUCCCCCAGCAGUGCCACAAAGACCUUCCCGCCCCUUCUCACAGCCCUCCUCCUCCAGGCAGCCCGCCCAGCCAGCGGAAGGGCCCCAGUUUCCCCUGUUCCGUUCCUCUGGCUGCGGCUCAGAAGGGCCCAUGCACAGGGGCCUCCAGCUGUAACUCUGUUGCUUCCCUGCCUGGCCUGGGAUGACAGUCAAGUGAGGAGGAGGAAGAGGAGGAAGAGGAGGAGGAGGAAGAGGAGAGCAGCCUCCAGCUUCUUUCCCGUUCUGCAUGAACCAGAUGCACAGGAGGGGAGGAGCAGGCUGAAAUGCCAGAAGCUGCACUUUGUGCCCAGCAUUGGCCGUCAGAACCCUUUCCUCCUGAGCCAGGGAAGAGGGGGCCGAAUGGGGGCCCAGGCUGAGCUCCUCGUGGUCACAGCAUCACAGGUGCAGAGGCGCCCCUGUCACCGCGGCUGCUGUAAGACCGGCCCCACAUCUACCAGACGGUGUCUCCACCCCAGGAAGCAGCCUGCCUGCGACUCUGGGCACCCAGAUGUUUGGUCCUGCGUUGAGUGGCCAGCAGCCACUCUGGCCUGCCCUCUCCUUGUCCAAAGAGUCAGAAGAGAGCAAGCCCAUUCCAGAACAGGAUUCCAAGCAGACCUGGGGUGCGUGUGGGCAGCUACAGGGGGAUGCUGCCCACAUCUGGACUUCAUGAGCACAUGA